Long non-coding RNA from Pelmatolapia mariae (spotted tilapia), 892 nucleotides. RefSeq lists it as uncharacterized. The transcript is spliced from 3 exons. The record is from RefSeq and is a predicted model, not a curated record. NCBI's taxonomy places the organism in Eukaryota, Metazoa, Chordata, Actinopteri, Cichliformes, Cichlidae.
UGAGCCAUUUUACUCUCUUAUAUACCCGCGGAGCCACACCGCCAGAGCCACCGCAGGAAUCAAGAAGAGCCAGUAGGACAGCUUUUUCUACUGUGCAUUCACUCAGGAAAAGCAAAGAGAAGGAAGGACGAUGUUCUCCGUCCCUGACUGACUACUCCAUCUAUGGCAAAUAAGAACAAGCAGAUAAGGCUCCACGGACAGAGACUCGGUGAUGAGAAGAAGGCAGACAAAACCACAGGCAUGAGUGAACACAAAUGACUUGUGAUGCAACAGAUAAACCUGCCUCCUGACUGACAGCCAACCCUCUGUUAGUUCUCUAAUGAUUACUGCUUCUUGAAGGAAACCUUUAGACAGACGUUCAAAGAGCCUGCAAUCCGCUGGUUAAAGGGAAAAACAGAGAAAAAUAUGAUGCAGCAUUGUUCUUCACAGGUCGAGGCAGUCUGAUUUGAGCUCUGAGAAAGCAGGAGAGGGAAAAGAGCAAACAUCAAAGAAGAACGAAAGAGGAAGGAAGAAGGAAAAGAAUACAAAAAGAUGUGAGAAACAAAGAGAACUCUGGCAGUGUGCAACAAGCAUCCCUGCUUCUCAUUUCGAGGUCACUGUGAUGGAAAUUAUUGUCCUGCAGCCAGAUGCCUCAGUCCUUUUCAAACCUGUGGAGUUGAGCCAGGCGGCCCAAUCCACGUGUUGGUGGGGAAGCUGUGAGAAAGAGCUUGGUCCGCAAACAGAAGGAAGGAAGGAAGGAGCCCUGACGAAGCAAUAUCAGAUAAUCACAGUUGCUCAGAGUUAAGACAGAAAACUGAAUUUUUAUAUAUAUUUUUUGAGACAAAAAUGCAGAUUUUAUUUAUCUGUUUCUGGACUUUAACAAAAUUAAAAGAAUAAUACUGAAUAAAAAUAU